This 495-nucleotide ribosomal RNA is filed under the name uncultured bacterium. RNAcentral describes it as "partial 16S ribosomal RNA". It matches the Rfam family "Bacterial small subunit ribosomal RNA", at positions 28 to 507 of the family's 1533-position model. The record is from RNAcentral.
GACGAACGCUGGCGGCGUGCCUAAUACAUGCAAGUAGAACGCUGAAGGAGGAGCUUGCUCUUCUGGAUGAGUUGCGAACGGGUGAGUAACGCGUAGGUAACCUGCCUUGUAGCGGGGGAUAACUAUUGGAAACGAUAGCUAAUACCGCAUAACAGUAGAUGUUGCAUGACAUUUGCUUAAAAGUUGCAAUUGCAUCACUACCAGAUGGACCUGCGUUGUAUUAGCUAGUUGGUGAGGUAACGGCUCACCAAGGCGACGAUACAUAGCCGACCUGAGAGGGUGAUCGGCCACACUGGGACUGAGACACGGCCCAGACUCCUACGGGAGGCAGCAGUAGGGAAUCUUCGGCAAUGGACGGAAGUCUGACCGAGCAACGCCGCGUGAGGGAAGAAGGGUUUCGGAUCGUAAAGCUCUGUUGUAAGAGAAGAACGAGUGUGAGAGUGGAAAGUUCACACUGUGACGGUAUCUUACCAGAAAGGGACGGCUAACUACGUG